RNAcentral lists this unclassified non-coding RNA (336 nucleotides) under soil metagenome. Its description in RNAcentral is "partial contains 5.8S ribosomal RNA, internal transcribed spacer 2, and large subunit ribosomal RNA". The stretch from base 1 to 120 matches the Rfam family "5.8S ribosomal RNA", at positions 35 to 154 of the family's 154-position model. The record is from RNAcentral.
GAUGAAGAACGCAGCGAAAUGCGAUAAGUAAUGUGAAUUGCAGAAUUCCGUGAAUCAUCGAUUCUUUGAACGCACAUUGCGCCCCCUGGUAUUCCGGGGGGCAUGCCUGUCCGAGCGUCAUUGCAACCUUCAAGCGCGGCUUGUGUGUUGGGUCUCGUCCCCCGUGGACGGGCCCGAAAGGCAGUGGCGGCGUCCCGACAUGGUGCCCGAGCGUAUGGGAAUCCUCUUCCGCUCGAAUCGGCCCAUGCGGCGCUGGUCGUAACCAAAUUUUUUACCGGUUGACCUCGGAUCAGGUAGGGAUACCCGCUGAACUUAAGCAUAUCAAUAAGCGGAGGA